AACGAACGCUGGCGGCAUGCCUAACACAUGCAAGUCGAACGAGACCUUCGGGUCUAGUGGCGCACGGGUGCGUAACGCGUGGGAACCUGCCCUUAGGUUCGGAAUAACUCCCCGAAAGGGGUGCCAAUACCGGAUAAUGUCUUCGGACCAAAGAUUUAUCGCCUUUGGAUGGGCCCGCGUUGGAUUAGCUAGUUGGUAGGGUAAAAGCCUACCAAGGCGACGAUCCAUAGCUGGUCUGAGAGGAUGAUCAGCCACACUGGGACUGAGACACGGCCCAGACUCCUACGGGAGGCAGCAGUGGGGAAUAUUGGACAAUGGGCGAAAGCCUGAUCCAGCAGUGCCGCGUGAGUGAUGAAGGCCUUAGGGUUGUAAAGCUCUUUUACCCGGGAUGAUAAUGACAGUACCGGGAGAAUAAGCUCCGGCUAACUCCGUG
Molecule: ribosomal RNA, 433 nt
Filed under: uncultured bacterium
Lineage: Bacteria
Description: partial 16S ribosomal RNA
Rfam family: Bacterial small subunit ribosomal RNA
Source: RNAcentral